CGCUGAGGGACCCGGCGGGAACAAACCGCCGCCGCGGCGGGAGCUGGGCUCGAGUGGCCGGAGGCGGGCCCUUGUCUUCGCCGCCGCUCCUGCACCCUGUGCUCCCUGAAGCCGCCGCCUUCAGAACGCUCAGCCCCUGGAUGUUAAGGCUCACUCGGGCGCCAGCCGCAGCCAGGGAAGUGGCGGCGGUCCCCACCCGUCCUCUCCCCAAGGCGGCGCCCGGGCCACCGGGCCGAAGCGCAGUGGGAGCGCGAGGCUGAGACGCCGGGACCCACGCCGCCCCAGCGCGGCCCGCCGGCGCCCACCCGAGCCCGCACGGCUUCCAGCCCGAGGGGAGACGCAUUCGAGUGAUCACCAGGAGCGAACUUGGCGCCCGCAGCCUUGGGCCUGGGAGAGCUCCUGAGGGCAAAGCCUGGGCCUCAUCCUCUUGUGGAUCCAGGAGAGCAGUCGCUGAAGAGAAAGAGGAAGAAAAGGAGUGGCUAGAAAAGAAAGUUUAUUUCCACUGCAGGAAGCACUGCCUCCCAUCUGAGAAAUGUCCCAAGCAGGAAUCAGGAGGACAAAGCCAUGAAGGAAAAGCCUCACUGAAGAAGAGGAACCUAAGAGAAGCAGGUUCUGCUCUGAUGAACUCCCAUAAAGGCAUUCCCAUAAAGGUGUGGGCCUGAGUGAUAAUCUAGAUAUGGUACAGUUGACAUCAGGUAUAUGGCGGCAGCCAGAAAUUCAACUUUGUCCAUCAGCUCUCUGCACAACAGGAAAGAUGGUGACCUUCCAGGCUUAUCUGAGGUCCAAGAGUAACAUCACAAACACAGUAACUACACCCAGCCAAAGAAAAGCAUACCUGAAUCCAAGAGAGUAUUUACACUGGCUUCAGGGAUGAGGAAAUAAAGGAGUAAGUGAUUAGGAUCAUUGUUUUCCUUUCUCUUUGGUACAAAAUAAAUGAGCUUCCUUUCUUU
RNAcentral lists this long non-coding RNA (950 nucleotides) under Homo sapiens (human). Its description in RNAcentral is "non-protein coding LINC01389:2". The record is from RNAcentral. Lineage: Eukaryota; Metazoa; Chordata; Mammalia; Primates; Hominidae.